RNAcentral lists this ribosomal RNA (633 nucleotides) under uncultured bacterium. RNAcentral's name for it is "bacterial SSU rRNA". It matches the Rfam family "Bacterial small subunit ribosomal RNA", at positions 39 to 671 of the family's 1533-position model. The record is from RNAcentral.
GCGGCAGGCCUAAUACAUGCAAGUCGGACGGGAUUGGGGGCUUGCUUCCAUGAGAGUGGCGCACGGGUGCGUAACACGUAUGUAACCUACCUUCAUCAGGGGGAUAGCCUCUCGAAAGAGAGAUUAACACCGCAUAACAUAAUAGGAUAGCAUUAUUUUAUUAUCAAAUAUUUAUAGGAUGAAGAUGGGCAUGCGGAACAUUAGCUUGUUGGCGGGGUAACGGCCCACCAAGGCGACGAUGUUUAGGGGAUCUGAGAGGAUGGCCCCCCACACUGGUACUGAGACACGGACCAGACUCCUACGGGAGGCAGCAGUAAGGAAUAUUGGUCAAUGGGCGCAAGCCUGAACCAGCCAUGCCGCGUGCAGGAAGACGGCCCUACGGGUUGUAAACUGCUUUUGCAGGGGAAUAAACCCUUCUAUGUAUAGGAGGCUGAAUGUACCCUGAGAAUAAGGAUCGGCUAACUCCGUGCCAGCAGCCGCGGUAAUACGGAGGAUCCGAGCGUUAUCCGGAUUUAUUGGGUUUAAAGGGUGCGUAGGCGGCCUGUUAAGUCAGGGGUGAAAGCCGGCAGCUCAACUGCCGAAGUGCCUUUGAUACUGACGGGCUUGAAUGCAGCUGAAGUGGGCGGAAUGUGA